This is an RNA transcript of Brassica napus (rape), 1523 nucleotides long. It is a transcript of the gene named novel plant SNARE 12, with no coding region annotated. The record is from RefSeq and is a predicted model, not a curated record. The transcript is spliced from 5 exons. Lineage: Eukaryota; Viridiplantae; Streptophyta; Magnoliopsida; Brassicales; Brassicaceae.
AUUACCAGAUAGCCACGAGUGACGCUCUUCUUCCCAGCUCUGCCGCGUUUUCCUUUCGUAUUUCUCUUCAAACUCCGCCGGAAUCUGAAAAUCUCCGGCAGAUAUGGCUUCUGACCUGCCGAUGAGCCCUCAUUUGGAGCAGAUCCAUGGAGAAAUCCGUGACCUUUUUCGAGCCUGGGUUCCAGAGGUUUGAUAAGGUGAAGGAUUCUAAUAGACAAAGCAAGCAACUUGCUGGCAAGAUGAGAAACUCUAAAAGAUGUUUCUCUUUUUUUAGAUGUUUCUGAAUCGAGUUUUAAUGCGCGCUAAUCUUGUAAUGUAUUCAAAUUAGGUUGGUUAAAUAGUUUGAUCGUGAGCUCAAAGAUGGGGAAGCUCGAAACUCUCCUCAAGUAAAUAAGCAAUUGAAUGAUGAGAAACAAUCUAUGGUGUUUUGAUGAAAUUUAUGGAGGUUGUAAUCAUUUUGAGAUUCUAGCUUUUGUAAUAAUACUUCUGAAGUAAUCAUUGCAGUAGUUAAUGUGUUAUAGAUUCUAUGAACAUCACUAUUAGCAUUUUGGUUUCUGUGUCUUUUCAAAAUCUGCUUGUUGAUAUUUCCUCCGAUUUAUGUGACGGAUUAAGAAACUCAACUCUUAUGUUGCACUAACAAAAACGUAACUAGUACGCCUGUCAUGCCAUUUCCAAGACGCUGCAUUGUCUUUGCCUAUACUAUUUCACAUCGAUCCUUUUACCAAGUGUAUUUAAGAUGUUUGUGUUGUAUGACUUCAGGUACACUCGGCAACAAGAAAGUUGAUCUUUUUGGUACGGGAGCUGGAUUCAGCAGUGAAUCCACAGCAGAAGAAAACGUACAAAUGUCUUCAUCAAUAUCAAACCAAGAGCUUGUCGAUGCUGGAAUGAAGAGGAUGGACGAGAUUGAACACUCUAAACAGGUUGUUCAUCAGACAGUGGAAAUCGAUACUCAAACCGCAGCUAAUUUAAAGGGCCAGGCGGAUCAAAUGGGCCGGGUUGGGAAUGACCUAGACACAAUUCAGUUCUCUAUCAAGAAAGCUUCACAGCUGGUUAAAGAGAUAGAGAGACAGGUUUGCAUAAUCUAAUCUCCCUGGAGAUAAGUUUCUCAAUGCAAAAGCUAAUGAAGCUGUAGCUACAGAUACAUGCAUAAUGAUGUUCCUGUUUCUGAUUGUAGGUGGUGUCAUAGCCAUUAUUGUUGUGAAGAUCGUGAACCAAACAACAAAGACAUUAGAGACAUCCAGUGAUUAGCUCCUCCAGCGCAAUCGAAAAGGCUAUUAUACUUUAGGGAUCCAGACUAGAGUACAUCAGCUUUUGGCUAGACUGAGAAAGGACACUCCAUGGUCGAGAAGGGUUUGGUACAUAUUACACUUUGUGUUACAUGUAUGCUUUGAUGUUAAUUUGAAUCAGAGUUCCGAUUAGUGGUUUGUAUUAUAUCAUCAUUCUUUUAACCCUAUGCCCGUUUGUAAAAGUUUCAUAACAAGUUCUCACUAAUAUUAUUCUUUUCAAAAAAUCUCUCUUAUUCA